RNAcentral lists this ribosomal RNA (443 nucleotides) under uncultured bacterium. RNAcentral describes it as "bacterial SSU rRNA". It matches the Rfam family "Bacterial small subunit ribosomal RNA", at positions 338 to 795 of the family's 1533-position model. The record is from RNAcentral.
CCUANGGGUGGCAGCAGUGAGGAAUUUUCCGCAAUGGGCUAACGCCUGACGGAGCAAUGCCGCGUGGAGGAGGAAGGCCUGUGGGUCGUAAACUCCUUUUCUCAGAGAAGAAGAUCUGACGGUAUCUGAGGAAUAAGCAUCGGCUAACUCUGUGCCAGCAGCCGCGGUAAUACAGGGGAUGCAAGCGUUAUCCGGAAUUAUUGGGCGUAAAGCGUCCUGAGGUGGCUUACCCAGUCGACUGUGAAAGCUCAAGGCUCAACCUUGAAACGGCAGUCGAAACUUGUAAGCUUGAGUACGGUAGAGGCAGAGGGAAUUCCCGGAGGAGAGGUGAAAUUCGUAGAUAUCGGGAGGAAGGCCAAAGGCGAAAGCACUCUGCUGGGCCGAUUACUGACACUGACAGACGAAAGCUAGGGGAGCGAAAGGGAUUAGAUACCCCGNUANUC